AAAAAGCCAUCUCAAUCACCAGAUGGUUUAGGUACCCAAGAACAAGACUCACAACGCCUCUUGCAACAGUAGAUGAUCCAAUAUCAACCCCAAGCUGAAUCAAUGCCAGGAUUUCCAGAUAAGAAUUACAUGAAAGAUGGUUAGCAGCUAAAUUUUUUAUGCAUCAUGCAUAUCAUCUAUUAGGCCCAAUUCUUAAUUUUCAUGACCAAUUUUCCUGCGUGUGUAUAUGUUUUCCGCAGACCAAAGCAUAUUCAUACAGCAUACGCAUAAACUCAAACAGACAAACACAAUAUAUUUGCUUUGAUAGUCUUAAUUUUCCUAACAAGUUGCUAUUCUACUGAUUUCCACGCAAUAUUUACCUCCAAAUAGUUAUUUCCCUGAAAAUAAUUGAUUUCCAAUGCUUGCCCAACUAGGCACGCCUUCUUGCCCACACUCUGCUUUACUAUCCAUGAACCCUGAAACAGGAAUGUCAAGACUUACUAUACAAAGGCACAAAUGACAACUAAUAGACAUUUUGCCUUCUGAACAUGGACUAUGCAUAGUCAUAGGGGAUGGAAAAUUUUAGAACAGAGUUCCUUAGAAUUCAGUGAUUAUGUGAAAUCGAGUAAAUCACUAACCCAGGAGGAAACACAUGUGCUCAAAAUAAUGUUACUACAAUAUCAAAAUGAGUUCAAGGAAUUGGUAAGAGGUAAAUACAAGGAAAGUAGAGGAAAAUGUAAUUAACUGGAUCACUUGAUGAGAUUCAAUCUCAUAUGCAUAAUAACUGGGAAAAGCAUCUAUGUAUAAGUGCGUUAUUAGGCUGCAAUUUAUAGCACAUUUACUCACCUUAGAUAUGUACGGUAUAAGUUUAAAUCUUGAAUUUCUGAAGGCAUCAUCGCCCUUAAUAAAACUCUCUAGCAAAGGAGCAUCUUCCACGGGAGUAUUCAUCAUGUAGUAUAGUGCUAGGCUAUAUGUAGUAGAACCUGGAACCUGGUUCAUAGAAACACAUAAUUAGCGCUGUGCUGAAGUUUAGUCACCACCUAAGCACAAAAAGACUAUCAAUUUUACCUGAAUAUUUACAAUGAAAAAGAACUCGGGCCCUCCUUGUGUUGCAUAUUUCUGCAAUUUACAAAACUUCAGUAAAUGGAUUUUUCUUUAUAAUGGAAAUCAUUAGUUGCUACACUAUGGCUAAAUAAAAGUGAAGCCAGGAAAAAUAUAAUUAAAGUCUAGAUAACAUAAUCAUACGCAAUGACCAACCUGAACAAUGCUCCCAGGACGGCCACCAAGGUCAUCUUCCCUUUUGUCAGAUCUCACCCAAUCUGCAGCAACCAUUUGCAUCAAGGUUCCCUUCGCUUUAAUCUAGUAAUUAUUACCAGACAUUUGAGAUUAGUGAUGAAGUGCUUGGUUAAACCAAAUAAAAAGAAAAGGAUAACUGCAUAUAUUGUAGUUAAUCUGCUGUUAGUAUCUUUCCUCAAAGCAUCCAAACCAAACUACGUAACAUAAAAAGAGAAAACAUAAUUUAGUGUUUGACCAAUAAUUAGAAGAUCACAGAUGUAACAAAAUGGAGAAAGAAUUGCAUGCACAGGUGGGGAUUACCAAGAGCUAUGUCCACACAAAAAUGGUAGUAGCCAUCAUACCUUCAGGCGGUCAUUGAGAUAAUUUUCUCCACGAAUCAGGAAAGUAGAAGGAUCUGCUUCAGUCAAGCUGCAAGGUAAUGUACAAGUAGGAUCCUGUGGAAGAGUGGAUCCAUAUGAGCAAGUGAGACUACUGUCUUCCCUGACCAUCUCUUGCAAGUCAACAUAACCCCUCUUCUGAACUGAAACAGAAUCUCUAGACAUUGUAAAUCAAUGGGAAAAAAAUCAUGCUUAAUCAUAAUCUGGAAUCAAAGAGGAUAAAAAUCACCUGCAAGAUCAUGCAAUCUUUUUACAAAGUUAGCAGCAGUUGAUAACUUCUGAUGACGAAUGUCCUGAAAUUCCCAUCAAAGCAGGACAUGGAAAGGCCGAAGUCAAGCAAAAUAUGAAGUUUGACCAAAUUUCCAGUGCAAAAUUUUUAAAGAAUAACAUGAGAUGAGCAGUCCAGCAUCAUAAAAAUGCUGAUAAGUAAAUAUCCCAAGAUGCAGCCCCACCUUUGAAUGUACCAUCUUCAAAUGCCAUGGGCAGUGAUGAACAUGAUUGCACUGAGCACCCAAUGGGUUUGACAGGAUAAAUGCUAUCUUUUAGGGUUAUAUGAAAACUGUACAAAAUUAAAGUAUGCCUAAAUACAGCUUGUCUUCAAUUGAAGCUCUUGGAAGUAGGAAUGUCACCAGCAAUGGCUGAACAUACUUAUUAUUAAGAAGUGGAGUUUAAAGCCUAACUCAACCUUACAAAACCGGCUUGUAAGGUGAGAUUUACACCUCACUUAUAUAUUAUAAUUUGGCCUUAUCUCUAGUCGAUAUAGGACUUCCAACACACCCCCUUUACGCCGAGGUAUAGACAUCUCGUGCAUGAUAAUAGAAAGAAAUGGGUGGUCUGAUAAUAGCCCGACAACGGAUGGAAUAGAAAUGCCCAAGAAAUAAGAAAUAUCGCUAGGAUAGACUCUAACCAUGCUCUGAUACCAUAUUAAGAAGUGGAGUUUAAAGGCUAACUCAACCCUAUAAAACCGGCUUGUAAGGUGAGGUUUGCACCUCACUUAUAUAUAUAUUAUAAUGUGGCCUUAUCUCUAAUCAAUAUGAAACUUCCAACAAACCUCCUUUAAGCCGAGGUAUAGACAUCUCGUGUGUGAUAGUAAAAAUGGAUGGUCCGAUGGUGGCCCGACAACGGGUAGAAUAGAAAUGCCCAAGAAAUAGGCUCUAACCUGGCUUUGAUACCAACUUGAAAAUAAGACCGAUUUAUUAUUCUCAAUCAUAAAAAAUACAUUCUCAUACCCUCUAUUUAUAAUAAUCUAGUUCUCCUAAAAAGGAAAAUAGAAAAACUAGGAAAAAUAAAAUAAAAUAAAAGAUUAUGUAUCUAUUUCCUCUAAUUAGGAAAAUUCUAAAGAUAUUAUCUCAAAUUACAACACUUAUAGAGGCAUCCAAAGAUUUUCAAGAAGCUAAAGAGAGAAAAUAGCUAGACUGUAUCAAAAAUAUAUAAAACUAUAUGUAAACUAUCUAGGCAGAAGCACGCAAAUAUAGGAGCAUAGAGUAAAGGGAAGGGGCCGAAUUGCACAGUUGAUCAGCCUCAAAAAGGUAAGCAUUCGAUUAGAAAGCCUACUAUUGUGAAUAACUUAGUAAACCACUCCAAUAUCUAAAGGAUCAGGAAUUCAAGAUUACCUUUAACUGUUGAAACUUGUAAUUUCAAGCCAAUAAUAUUUCCAAAUUAUGCAUAGUUCAUCUGAUAUAGUGGUUAUUCCAUUAAUGUGAUGGCUAAGGCACGUGUAGGAAGUUUUUAAGAGAAUGGAGUGGCAUGGCAAGCCUAGAAAUGAAAUCAAAUAUAACAUGACACUCCGAUAUUUGAUUGCUUAAAAAGUGUAAUGAAGGGAGGGGGGUUUAAUUCAUGGCAUUCCCUCCUUCAACCCCCUGUAACACCCCCCCUCUCUAGGAGGGAAAAGUCAGGAUUUCAAGUGGCAUAGGAGGUAAUAGGAGCCCCCAUUGCCAUUCCAAUCCUUUUCUUAAUAAAUCCCAAACAAACUUUGUUUAAACUGUCAUUUCAUUCCUGUCCACUUCAGCCUUUUCCAUGCUUCCAAACAUAGCCUAGAGAAUGUUGUCCGUUGUAGACGUUUACUUUAUUCAUUUAAAAGUUGAAAUUCCAAAAUGAUUUACAUUGUUUUAAAAAGUUUCAUGCCAUAUCAGAGCAUAUAAAAGACUCUUAAACAUAUUGUUGGGUGUCUUAAGACUUAUGGAUUGUGGAGCAAAUAAAACCUUGACUGUCUACAAAAACUUAAGUCUAUCAAAACGUUCAGAACUAAAGUAGUGUCUAUUAACUAAUGAGGAAAGUAAUUUACCCCUAUUGAAAAACAGAUAUAAUAAACUGAGGAACAAUAAAUGACAUUUGAAAGCCAUGCAGUGAUUGAUAUUUAAAAACUAUAUAUUAAAGGAAAUGUCUUAAGAGCAAUCCCUAAAUAUUGAACGUCAAGACAAAAGCUACCUUAAAACUUCAGAUUAUUCACUUCAUUUCUGUGCAAUGAAAACAAAUAUUUCAACUAUCAUUUUUACCUGAGACCUUUGGUGACUAGAUUCAGUCAUCCACCCAUUUUCCGACUCGUCAUAGUCUGAUGGCUCUGGAACAUCAUAGAACUCAUCAUCAGCAUCAUUUAGAGUAACAAGGCUUGCAUGCUCUGAUUGAGUUUGAUCUACUUCUCCAACUGAGUUAUCAUGAUUGUUCUCAUCUGCCUUAAUUUCGGUAUCAGAAUUGGUGAUGCCCCCUUCCUUUCCAUGAAGCCCACUCUUUGUCGUCAACUCUCCAGAUGAAUAAUCAGGAGAAGAACAAUUCCCCUGUCUAGCUUUAAAUAACUCCCGCAAUGCUGCAAGUGCAAAAGAAAUUGGUAAAUAAAAUACUAACUAGAAUAUUAAAUCUUUUUAUCAAACAUGUUAACAACUAGCAAUGUAAAAUAAAUGUUGGCCAGCAGGAAAAUAAUUUUGAACAAUAAUGUAAACUUCUGAACAAAAUAAGACUACCAGCAACUCUCCCAAGCAUUUGAAUGGUUAUGGAAUGUGCUGAUGAGGAUUUAAGAUAAGAUCUCCAGCAUUUCCAAUCAAUAGCAAGCAUAUGUUUUACAACUGAUUGCUUUCCUUUGUUCACCGGUGAUAUAACAUACCCUCCACCUACAAAAGAAUACGAGUUGUCACCCUUCAACUACUCUAACCUACACUUCUACUAAACUUUCUACCAAGCAAUUUUCAUAGGCAUUAAAAAUUCCAAAAAAACAAUACCAGAAAUCAUCUAUACAUAAAUUGGAUAUUAUAAUGACAAUAGUGAAGGAGGAUGAUUUCAGAAUCAGUGACAGCUCUACUACUUUAAUUUCAGAUCAGAAUAAAGAUGAUUACAAGCAAAGAACAUUGUGAUUCCAAAUUACCAUCUUUAAGUUUCACAGUAUUAUUUAUUUUGAGGUAAAGUACAAGGCAAAUAGAAUAAUAGAAAAGAAAUAUUUACUAUUUCUACAGUUUAAGCAUACAUUACUUUUAAGGCAAGCACGCACAUAGCCUUUCUGGGGAGGGCACUUUUUAUGAAACACGGAAUGGUAAAGAAUAACUGUGACAAAGAAAACCAAAGAAGUUACUUCCAUUCAGAAUGUGUGUAUGUGUGUGAGUGUGAAAAUUUCUUCCAUAAUUCACUACUACCAUAUGUCCCAUCAUCUUCUCUCCUCCAAUAACGCCGCAACAAGAGAUCUCUUCGUUGCAUUCCCCUGUAAAACAUGUAUGAAAAAUUGAAACUUUUAUUCUAAAUAGACUGGUAGAACCUUGGAACAAGUAUUGGUACAAUGAUCAGCACUAAAGGCUUGGGUCUAUACCAAGGCAACCAAUCACUAAACAGCUGUUUGUGAAUAAUGUCUGUGUGACCAUCCAAGUGCUCCACCACAUUCCCCUUGUAGAAACAAAAAUCCCACCUGCAUGCCCACAAUUAAUGUGUUUUAAGGACACUAUUAACAACUUCCAUACUAAAUAAAUUACUAAAGCAAUGUUGGUUUAUAAAAUUGUAUCAUAAUCAAAUUGCUCACUACUACAUUGCUAUAACCUAACAUCUACUAUUAAACGUUUUUUUAUUUGCAGUUCAUUUCAUUUUUCUUUUCAAUGGAAGCACCCUAUUUAACCUAGGCCUAUUGUCAUUAUCAUUAGACAUAAAAUGAUACGAUCUGUGUUCAAUGUCCAGUUAAAAAUUCUGUACGAUCUUGCUACAAGAUUUAGUCAAUGAUAAACUUGUUGACGGAAUUUGGAGACCUUUCUCACAUCAUUCACAGGUUUUGGGGGAGAGUAAAGAGGGGAAGGCAAUUUGACAAUAUGCAAGUAUGCUAUUAUUUUAUUUGGUAUUUAUGCCUGGUGUCAUGAGCUUGAUGAAUUUUUUUUUUCACCUAUGUGGGAUAAAUUAGUCUUUUGAUAUAGUUAUGACGAUUGGUUAAUGCUUGCAUACCCUAAAUGGGAGAUAAGAGAGACUAGUAAGCUUUGUUUGGAUUAUAAUUCUUUGUUUGCUCUGGUUUUUAUUUGCUUGGCUCUAUACACUUUCCAUUCUCUUGUAACGUUGCAGUUCCUUCUACAUCCAAUCACCAAAUCUUAAGAAUAGCAAU
This 6213-nucleotide long non-coding RNA is filed under the name Vigna radiata. RNAcentral's name for it is "long non-coding RNA (VRAD_LNC002810)". The record is from RNAcentral. Lineage: Eukaryota; Viridiplantae; Streptophyta; Magnoliopsida; Fabales; Fabaceae.